GCGUUGGGCUUCAAAUCCGUUGUGGCGAUUG
RNAcentral lists this transfer RNA (31 nucleotides) under Florenciella parvula. RNAcentral's name for it is "partial Selenocysteine transfer RNA". Lineage: Eukaryota; Dictyochophyceae; Florenciellales. The record is from RNAcentral.